RNAcentral lists this ribosomal RNA (273 nucleotides) under uncultured prokaryote. RNAcentral describes it as "partial 16S ribosomal RNA". It matches the Rfam family "Bacterial small subunit ribosomal RNA", at positions 524 to 792 of the family's 1533-position model. The record is from RNAcentral.
UACGGUAGGUGGCAAGCGUUAUCCGGAAUUAUUGGGCGUAAAGAGCGCGCAGGUGGUUGAUUAAGUCUGAUGUGAAAGCCCACGGCUUAACCGUGGAGGGUCAUUGGAAACUGGUCGACUUGAGGUGCAGAAGAGGGAAGUGGAAUUCCAUGUGUAGCGGUGAAAUGCGUAGAGAUUUGGAGGAACACCAGUGGCGAAGGCGGCUUCCUGGUCUGUAACUGACACUGAGGCGCGAAAGCCAGGGGAGCAAACGGGAUUAGGAUACCCCUGGUA